RNAcentral lists this ribosomal RNA (654 nucleotides) under Escherichia coli. RNAcentral's name for it is "partial 23S ribosomal RNA". It matches the Rfam family "Bacterial large subunit ribosomal RNA", at positions 615 to 1268 of the family's 2925-position model. Lineage: Bacteria; Pseudomonadati; Pseudomonadota; Gammaproteobacteria; Enterobacterales; Enterobacteriaceae. The record is from RNAcentral.
AUGGGUCAGCGACUUAUAUUCUGUAGCAAGGUUAACCGAAUAGGGGAGCCGAAGGGAAACCGAGUCUUAACUGGGCGUUAAGUUGCAGGGUAUAGACCCGAAACCCGGUGAUCUAGCCAUGGGCAGGUUGAAGGUUGGGUAACACUAACUGGAGGACCGAACCGACUAAUGUUGAAAAAUUAGCGGAUGACUUGUGGCUGGGGGUGAAAGGCCAAUCAAACCGGGAGAUAGCUGGUUCUCCCCGAAAGCUAUUUAGGUAGCGCCUCGUGAAUUCAUCUCCGGGGGUAGAGCACUGUUUCGGCAAGGGGGUCAUCCCGACUUACCAACCCGAUGCAAACUGCGAAUACCGGAGAAUGUUAUCACGGGAGACACACGGCGGGUGCUAACGUCCGUCGUGAAGAGGGAAACAACCCAGACCGCCAGCUAAGGUCCCAAAGUCAUGGUUAAGUGGGAAACGAUGUGGGAAGGCCCAGACAGCCAGGAUGUUGGCUUAGAAGCAGCCAUCAUUUAAAGAAAGCGUAAUAGCUCACUGGUCGAGUCGGCCUGCGCGGAAGAUGUAACGGGGCUAAACCAUGCACCGAAGCUGCGGCAGCGACGCUUAUGCGUUGUUGGGUAGGGGAGCGUUCUGUAAGCCUGUGAAGGUGUGCUGUGAGG